Molecule: small nucleolar RNA, 126 nt
Organism: Arvicanthis niloticus (Nile rat)
Lineage: Eukaryota; Metazoa; Chordata; Mammalia; Rodentia; Muridae
Product: small nucleolar RNA SNORA17
Source: RefSeq, a predicted model, not a curated record
CCUGCCCAUAGAGGCAUUUGCAGGUAUGGCUGCUGUGUCACAUGUACACCAGUAGGUGGCAGAGAGGAGAGAGACUGUUUACCCUCAGAGACCUAUGAAUAUUUAAAUGAUAAGUAGCCUAACGUU